GCAUAAUCAUUAGUCUUUUAAUUUAGGACUGGAAUGAAUGGUUUGACUAAAGUAAAUUUGUCUCUAAAGAAUAUUUUGAAUUUUAUUUUUUAGUAAAAAAGCUAAAAUAANUCCUAAGGGACGAGAAGACCCUAUCAAGUUUAACANGUANGAANNUGUUGNUUUUCAAUCCNAAUNAUUAAUAUUGNUUUAACUGGGGCAGUUAUUAAUAUAAAUAUUAAUUUUUUAUUGUNNAGUGUUUGACUUUGAAUUAUCUUNGAAUUUCAAAAUUAAAAAUAAAUUACUGUAGGGAUAACAGCUUAAUUUCUUUAAAGAGUUCUUAUCAUCAAAGAAGUUUGUGACCUCGAUGUUGGAUUAAGAUUCCUUAUCGGCGCAGAAGUUUUUUAAGGGAGUCUGUUCGACUCUUAAAUUCUUCCAUGAUCUGA
This 425-nucleotide ribosomal RNA is filed under the name Neocalchas gruberi. RNAcentral describes it as "partial large subunit ribosomal RNA". It matches the Rfam family "Bacterial large subunit ribosomal RNA", at positions 1959 to 2608 of the family's 2925-position model. Lineage: Eukaryota; Metazoa; Arthropoda; Arachnida; Scorpiones; Iuridae. The record is from RNAcentral.